Molecule: ribosomal RNA, 448 nt
Filed under: uncultured bacterium
Lineage: Bacteria
Description: bacterial SSU rRNA
Rfam family: Bacterial small subunit ribosomal RNA
Source: RNAcentral
GCCAGACUCCUACGGGAGGCAGCAGUCGGGAAUAUUGCGCAAUGGAGGAAACUCUGACGCAGUGACGCCGCGUGCAGGAAGAAGGUUUUCGGAUUGUAAACUGCUUUAGACAGGGAAGAAACAAGACAGUACCUGUAGAAUAAGCUCCGGCUAACUACGUGCCAGCAGCCGCGGUAAUACGUAGGGAGCAAGCGUUAUCCGGAUUUAUUGGGUGUAAAGGGUGCGUAGACGGGAAAACAAGUUAGUUGUGAAAUCCCUCGGCUUAACUGAGGAACUGCAACUAAAACUAUUUUUCUUGAGUGUUGGAGAGGAAAGUGGAAUUCCUAGUGUAGCGGUGAAAUGCGUAGAUAUUAGGAGGAACACCAGUGGCGAAGGCGGCCUGCUGGACAUUAACUGACGCUGAGGCGCGAAAGCGUGGGGAGCAAACAGGAUUAGAUACCCGAGUAAC